CUACGGGCUGCACCAGUGGGGAAUAUUGCACAAUGGGCGCAAGCCUGAUGCAGCAACGCCGCGUGAACGAUGAAGGCCUUCGGGUUGUAAAGUUCUUUUCUUAGGGAAGAAUAAAUGACGGUACCUAAGGAAUCAGCCCCGGCUAACUACGUGCCAGCAGCCGCGGUAAUACGUAGGGGGCAAGCGUUAUCCGGAAUCACUGGGCGUAAAGGGAGUGUAGGCGGUCAAGCAAGUCAGGGGUGAAAGGCAUCGGCUCAACCGAUGUAAGCCUUUGAAACUGUUUGACUUGAGUGCAGGAGAGGUAAGUGGAAUUCCUAGUGUAGCGGUGAAAUGCGUAGAUAUUAGGAGGAACACCAGUGGCGAAGGCGACUUACUGGACUGUAACUGACGCUGAGGCUCGAAAGCGUGGGGAGCGAACAGGAUUAGAUACCCCCGUAGUC
RNAcentral lists this ribosomal RNA (440 nucleotides) under uncultured bacterium. RNAcentral describes it as "partial 16S ribosomal RNA". It matches the Rfam family "Bacterial small subunit ribosomal RNA", at positions 339 to 795 of the family's 1533-position model. The record is from RNAcentral.